UACAGAGGGUGCGAGCGUUAAUCGGAAUUACUGGGCGUAAAGCGUGCGUAGACGGUUAUUUAAGUCGGGUGUGAAAGCCCCGGGCUCAACCUGGGGAUUGCAUUCGAGACUGAAUAGCUAGGGUACGGUAGAGGGAAGCGGAAUUUCCGGUGUAGCGGUGAAAUGCGUAGAUAUCGGAAGGAACAUCAGUGGCGAAAGCGGCUUCCUGGACCAGUACCGACGUUCAGGCACGAAAGCGUGGGGAGCAAACAGG
This 253-nucleotide ribosomal RNA is filed under the name uncultured bacterium. RNAcentral describes it as "partial 16S ribosomal RNA". It matches the Rfam family "Bacterial small subunit ribosomal RNA", at positions 524 to 776 of the family's 1533-position model. The record is from RNAcentral.